GCACUUCCUUCAGCAGCACGUACACUAACAUUGAAAUACUGAGAAGAUUAGCAUGGUCCUGCUCAAGAAUAAUACAAAAGUUUGUAAAGCAUUCCAUAUUUUU
Molecule: small nuclear RNA, 103 nt
Organism: Cebus imitator (Panamanian white-faced capuchin)
Lineage: Eukaryota; Metazoa; Chordata; Mammalia; Primates; Cebidae
Source: Ensembl